Molecule: long non-coding RNA, 525 nt
Filed under: Anser brachyrhynchus (Pink-footed goose)
Lineage: Eukaryota; Metazoa; Chordata; Aves; Anseriformes; Anatidae
Description: lncRNA (ENSABRG00000008648.1)
Source: RNAcentral
CUUUGUUAUCUGCAGUUUUAGAAGCUAUUUCUGAGAGCGUAGCACAAAGUGAGUUGGCCUCAGAGAAAAGAACUUUUUUUUUUUUUUUAAACUGUUACAUUGUCUUUCAAAUACACUUUGUCUUCCCAUAAGAUGGGAUCAAAGGGACGUGGUGAGCUAAGUGCCUGCAAUGGUCGAGUUUAGGUAGGUUGAAAGUUUUCUUUCCUCAUUAUUUCAGUGGAAGUCCUCAAAGGAAUCUCAGGGAAAGCAAGAGGAAGUCUACGUCAACCCUCAAAGCUUGGCAGAAGCAAACACGACAGAGCAUGCAUUGAUUUCUUAGAGAAACAAAGAAGAAACCAGGCUGUUCACAGAAAAUCUCCCUCUUUGUGAUGAAGCUGAGCGUCCAGGUAAUGCUUCAGAAGACUGCAUUGCACCAGGGGCACGGCUACGGGACAGUGUGGGUGACUUGCUGAUAUACUUGGCUAGAAGCUGACUUUCCAAAUUGCUUGCCAUAUAGAAAAGAAAUAAACGAAGCAUGUUAGGACA